Molecule: ribosomal RNA, 362 nt
Filed under: Staphylococcus chromogenes
Lineage: Bacteria; Bacillati; Bacillota; Bacilli; Caryophanales; Staphylococcaceae
Description: bacterial SSU rRNA
Rfam family: Bacterial small subunit ribosomal RNA
Source: RNAcentral
UUUAUGGAGAGUUUGAUCCUGGCUCAGGAUGAACGCUGGCGGCGUGCCUAAUACAUGCAAGUCGAGCGAACUGACGAGGAGCUUGCUCCUUUGACGUUAGCGGCGGACGGGUGAGUAACACGUGGGUAACCUACCUAUAAGACUGGAAUAACUCCGGGAAACCGGGGCUAAUGCCGGAUAACAUAUCGAACCGCAUGGUUCGAUAGUGAAAGACGGUCUUGCUGUCACUUAUAGAUGGACCCGCGCCGUAUUAGCUAGUUGGUGAGGUAACGGCUCACCAAGGCGACGAUACGUAGCCGACCUGAGAGGGUGAUCGGCCACACUGGAACUGAGACACGGUCCAGACUCCUACGGGAGGCAGC